This 663-nucleotide ribosomal RNA is filed under the name uncultured fungus. RNAcentral's name for it is "eukaryotic LSU rRNA". The stretch from base 290 to 435 matches the Rfam family "5.8S ribosomal RNA". Lineage: Eukaryota; Fungi. The record is from RNAcentral.
CUUGGUCAUUUAGAGGAAGUAAAAGUCGUAACAAGGUAACCGUAGGUGAACCUGCGGUUGGAUCAUUAAUGAACUUUGGUUGAGUUGGCUUUGUUGCCCUCGAUCGUCAACACCUUGUGAAUUGUAAAAUUGUAUUUGGCAAGUGAUGCAGCAGCUCGCUGCAGAAUUUUCCCCCUCUCCCUCUUUUCCCUAGGGAAGGGAAGGGAAGCGGGAAAAGCUUGUCCCCAUUAUACCUUGAACUAUGUAAUGCAUUUAAUCCUGAACAAUAAAUUUACAGAAAUACUAAAACAACUUUUGGCAACGGAUCUCUUGGCUCUCGCAACGAUGAAGAACGCAGCGAAAUGCGAUACGUAUCAUGAAUUGCAGAACUCUGAAUGAUAAAUGUUUGAACGCACAUUGCGCCAGCCUUUGGUUGGCAUGUCUGUCUGAGAAUCUUCAAGUUUCUCUCUUGGAAAGCAAUUUGCUUUUUUUUUUUGAGGCCCUUGACAGUCCUACAAUGCCGCUAGGCUGUUGAAAUUAAACGUAUUGUCUCGCAGCCAUGAGGGGUUGGGUGAUUUUGACCAAAUCAAUUUUACCCGCUUGCCCUUAAUUCAGGCUAAGCAUACUUGGUCUCAGAUCAGACAGGAGGACCCGCUGAACUUAAGCAUAUCAAUAAGCGGAGGA